This 20-nucleotide small nuclear RNA is filed under the name Arabidopsis thaliana (thale cress). RNAcentral's name for it is "snRNA_18752". The record is from RNAcentral. Lineage: Eukaryota; Viridiplantae; Streptophyta; Magnoliopsida; Brassicales; Brassicaceae.
AUAAACUAAUUGCAUUCUCA